GAUCAUGGCUCAGGAUGAACGCUAGCUACAGGCUUAACACAUGCAAGUCGAGGGGCAGCGGGAUUGAAGCUUGCUUCAAUUUGCCGGCGACCGGCGCACGGGUGAGUAACGCGUAUCCAACCUUCCGUACACUCAGGGAUAGCCUUUCGAAAGAAAGAUUAAUACCUGAUGGUAUCUUAAGCACACAUGUAAUUAAGAUUAAAGAUUCAUCUGUGUACGAGUGGGGAUGCCGUU
RNAcentral lists this ribosomal RNA (234 nucleotides) under uncultured bacterium. RNAcentral's name for it is "partial 16S ribosomal RNA". It matches the Rfam family "Bacterial small subunit ribosomal RNA", at positions 15 to 237 of the family's 1533-position model. The record is from RNAcentral.